This 24-nucleotide small nuclear RNA is filed under the name Arabidopsis thaliana (thale cress). RNAcentral describes it as "snRNA_02361". The record is from RNAcentral. Lineage: Eukaryota; Viridiplantae; Streptophyta; Magnoliopsida; Brassicales; Brassicaceae.
AAGCAAAUUGAUGAACUAGUAAUC